This is a non-coding RNA of Galeopterus variegatus (Sunda flying lemur), 76 nucleotides long. Lineage: Eukaryota; Metazoa; Chordata; Mammalia; Dermoptera; Cynocephalidae. The record is from the annotation of a RefSeq genome assembly.
UGGCUGGUAAGCUCAGUUGGUUAGAGCAUGGUGUUGAUAACACCAAGGUCCAGGGUUCAAUCCCCGUGCCAGUCAA